This 272-nucleotide small nucleolar RNA is filed under the name Scleropages formosus (Asian bonytongue). Its description in RNAcentral is "Small Cajal body specific RNA 6". It matches the Rfam family "Small Cajal body specific RNA 6". From Rfam's summary of the family: U88 is small Cajal body specific RNA (scaRNA). scaRNAs are a novel class of small nuclear RNAs which localise to the Cajal bodies. U88 is found associated with both fibrillarin and Gar1p and co-localises with coilin in Cajal bodies. U88 scaRNA is composed of both an H/ACA box and a C/D box conserved domains domains and is predicted to guide 2'-O-methylation of residue U41 of the U5 snRNA. Lineage: Eukaryota; Metazoa; Chordata; Actinopteri; Osteoglossiformes; Osteoglossidae. The record is from Rfam by way of RNAcentral.
GGUCAAUGAUGAGAUGUAAAAGGUCUGAUGCCAGUGACCCCAGUUACCCUUUAAGCUCCCAGUAAUUCCUUCUGUGUUCCCAGCAUACUCUAGUUGUGUGGUGCUGGUUGCAGGGGUUCCUGACAAAUGGGACAAUGUCAUCUUUGUGUCUCCCCAAGAAAAUGGGGCAUAGUGAUGGUGAAUGUUCAACAUACCCCCCCCNCCUCCCAAAAGGAGCAUGGGGUUCUGGAGUUAUUGACUGGCACGUGAUCUCAAGUUUUCAAGCUGAGACC